GGAGAGAUGGCUCAGUGGUUAAGAGCACUGACUGCCUUUUUAGAGGACCUGGGUGCAAUUCCCAGCACCUCCA
This 73-nucleotide transfer RNA is filed under the name Rattus norvegicus (Norway rat). It matches the Rfam family "tRNA". Rfam says of the family: Transfer RNA (tRNA) molecules are approximately 80 nucleotides in length. Lineage: Eukaryota; Metazoa; Chordata; Mammalia; Rodentia; Muridae. The record is from Rfam by way of RNAcentral.